GACGAACGCUGGCGGCGUGCCUAAUACAUGCAAGUUGAGCGCUGAAGGUUGGUACUUGUACCAACUGGAUGAGCAGCGAACGGGUGAGUAACGCGUGGGGAAUCUGCCUUUGAGCGGGGGACAACAUUUGGAAACGAAUGCUAAUACCGCAUAAAAACUUUAAACACAAGUUUUAAGUUUGAAAGAUGCCAUUGCAUCACUCAAAGAUGAUCCCGCGUUGUAUUAGCUAGUUGGUGAGGUAAAGGCUCACCAAGGCGGUGAUACAUAGCCGACCUGAGAGGGUGAUCGGCCACAUUGGGACUGGGAAACGGCCCAAACUCCUACGGGGAGGAGCAGGAGGGAAACUUCGGCCAUGGGGGGAAAUCCGACCGAAGACAGCCGCCGGAGAGGAGAAGGGUUUCGGGUCGGAAAAGUAUGUUGGUAGGGAAGAAAGUUGGUGAGAGUGGAAAGCUCAUCAAGUGACGGUAACUACCCAAGAAGGAACGGCUAACUACGUG
This 497-nucleotide ribosomal RNA is filed under the name uncultured bacterium. RNAcentral describes it as "partial 16S ribosomal RNA". It matches the Rfam family "Bacterial small subunit ribosomal RNA", at positions 28 to 507 of the family's 1533-position model. The record is from RNAcentral.